This 301-nucleotide ribosomal RNA is filed under the name uncultured bacterium. RNAcentral's name for it is "partial 16S ribosomal RNA". It matches the Rfam family "Bacterial small subunit ribosomal RNA", at positions 509 to 809 of the family's 1533-position model. The record is from RNAcentral.
CAGCAGCCGCGGGAAUACGUAGGUGGCAAGCGUUGUCCGGAAUUAUUGGGCGUAAAGGGCUCGCAGGCGGUUUCUUAAGUCUGAUGUGAAAGCCCCCGGCUCAACCGGGGAGGGUCAUUGGAAACUGGGAAACUUGAGUGCAGAAGAGGAGAGUGGAAUUCCACGUGUAGCGGUGAAAUGCGUAGAGAUGUGGAGGAACACCAGUAGCGAAGGCGACUCUCUGGUCUGUAACUGACGCUGAGGAGCGAAAGCGUGGGGAGCGAACAGGAUUAGAUACCCCAGUAGUCCCUGUCUUUUAUAC